GNGAGUGAUGAANNNUUUCGGAUCGUAAAGNUCUGUUNNAGGGNAANGNNNNAAGUACCNGUUCGAAUNAGGGNNNGUACCUUGACGGUACCUANCCANNAAANCCACGGGCUNAACUACGUGCCAGCAGNCCGCGGGUAAUACGUAGGUGGCAAGCGUUGUCCGGGAAUUAUUGGGCGUAAAGGGCUCGCAGGCGGUUUCUUAAGUCUGAUGUGAAAGCCCCCCGGCUCAACCGGGGAGGGUCAUUGGAAACUGGGGAACUUGAGUGCAGAAGAGGAGAGUGGAAUUCCACGUGUAGCGGUGAAAUGCGUAGAGAUGUGGAGGAACACCAGUGGCGAAGGCGACUCUCUGGUCUGUAACUGACGCUGAGGAGCGAAAGCGUGGGGAGCGAACAGGAUUAGAUACCCUGGUAGUCCACGCCGUAAACGAUGAGUGCUAAGUGUUAGGGGGUUUCCGCCCCUUAGUGCUGCAGCUAACGCAUUAAGCACUCCGCCUGGGGAGUACGGUCGCAAGACUGAAACUCAAAGGAAUUGACGGGGGCCCGCACAAGCGGUGGAGCAUGUGGUUUAAUUCGAAGCAACGCGAAGAACCUUACCAGGUCUUGACAUCCUCUGACAAUCCUAGAGAUAGGACGUCCCCUUCGGGGGCAGAGUGACAGGUGGUGCAUGGUUGUCGUCAGCUCGUGUCGUGAGAUGUUGGGUUAAGUCCCGCAACGAGCGCAACCCUUGAUCUUAGUUGCCAGCAUUCAGUUGGGCACUCUAAGGUGACUGCCGGUGACAAACCGGAGGAAGGUGGGGAUGACGUCAAAUCAUCAUGCCCCUUAUGACCUGGGCUACACACGUGCUACAAUGGACAGAACAAAGGGCAGCGAAACCGCGAGGUUAAGCCAAUCCCACAAAUCUGUUCUCAGUUCGGAUCGCAGUCUGCAACUCGACUGCGUGAAGCUGGAAUCGCUAGUAAUCGCGGAUC
RNAcentral lists this ribosomal RNA (969 nucleotides) under Bacillus subtilis. RNAcentral's name for it is "partial 16S ribosomal RNA". It matches the Rfam family "Bacterial small subunit ribosomal RNA", at positions 401 to 1350 of the family's 1533-position model. The record is from RNAcentral. Lineage: Bacteria; Bacillati; Bacillota; Bacilli; Caryophanales; Bacillaceae.